AGACUCUCUGUGAGGGUUUUUUGUGGAUGGAAGUAUGUCUGCGUGUUUGAAAAAGAUGCAUAUAAUCCCAUGUGCGAUUGGGAGGCGGGAGAGGUGAGCCGGUGAUACCAACCCGGCACAAUAGAGAAGAGAGGGAAAGAGCCAUGCAUCAUUGGAGAUGUCAAAGCAGCAGAAAACUCAUAAAGCCAACACAAUGUUAUCCGACAUUUCUACACGGAACAGGAUGAAGGACUGCAGAGAGGAGCCCAACAGGUGCCGUCCAAAUGAACCGAUGAGUCCAAAGCAAAUCAACCUGUGCACAACAAUUAGAGAGCACAGAGACCUGGUUCAGGACAACAAAUGGAUUUACGAAGAUGCAUAAGGGACAAACAGGGAGCUCCCAGAACGCAGGCGUGUGGAAUGACAGCUCCCUGAUGGACGUGGAAGAUCGUCUCAGUUUGGCCAACAAGCAGCAGGAGACUAAAGUUGUCUCUCUCCAGACUGUCUGUUGCUUUAUUUCUUUAUAUGUUACUUUAUGUGUUACAAGCAAAAGCAUGAAUGUUUCAGGGUUUAAGAGAAAAAACAUAUAUUUUACACAAAUCCCAUGAUGUAACAUGACUGAAAUGAAUGAACAUCAAAACUGUGUCAGCAGUAAUAUCAGAGCUGACAUGCACCGGCUUCCACCGCUCCUUCCUUACCCAGGUAAGGUGUGUGUGUGUGUGUGUUCGCCCAUCCAUCCCUCCAUCAGGGGUCUUGACAAGGUACAUGUAUCAUUUAGCCCUGUGCUGUCUGGCCUUUCCCAUAAGCCACUGCUGCCUGGAAGAUUAAUGAGUGUCUUCAUCCCACACUUAAAGACUGUUAAUAGGUGGACCUGAGGACAGACAAACCUCUCUCACAAAACAGACUUUUACUUUUUAAAUUCCAUUUAUUCACCUAACUUUGUAAAGUAGAACAAUGUUUUACCAUGAUAAAGGUUUUGUUUGUUUAUUGACACCAGACAUAUAUAUAUAUACAUAUACUGUAUAAUAUAUAUAUAGCAUUUGUUCAACUUUACGUGUGUUUCAAGCUUUCGAUGGUUUCUAGCUCAUCCGUCCUGUCACAUGGAGCUCAAAGAAAAGGUCAUUCUGAUUUUCUUUCCAGUCACCGAGUAAACACAUCAGUGCAUCUAUUAGACAUCUGUGGGCCACAUCUGUUGAGCAGAUUGACCUCAGAUGACGAUGAAGAACAAAUUAAAGUAUGUUUAAUUUAUUUAUUUCCAGUCAAACUUGAGAACAUGUUUGAGUUUGAAAUCAAAGGGAAAGUUGUUUGAUUUCUUGGUAAUUUAUUAGUGACUGAGUAACAUAGAAAAUCAAUGUCUGUGAAGAAUUACAAAUAACAUUUCUAAAAAUUUUAAAUGAUUAAAAUAGCUUAAAACGAAAUUUACCAAAUCCUCUAAUAUUUCUUUUAAUCUUGUCAUUGCCUGAUGGAUAAAGGGUCAAUCUCCCUCAUCCACCACUGUCGUAAGUACACAGAAACUUUGAGUUCACUACGAUGACUGAACCAGACUGCUGAGAUAUGUUUGGGACUGUGUUGCAGGUGAACAAAAGGUGAAGCGUCAGAGUACAACCAGUUCUGGAAUAUUGCAAUAAAUAACAAUGUCCUCUCAGUCUUUGGGCAGUAAUUAGAUCAAUUAAAGCUUAUUAGCCACUUCCUCUAUUAUGAGUGUGCGUGCAAUGACUUCAUUAAAUCUCCCGUGAGGAAUUCAUGAAGGGAGAACUGGCACUUAAUGGUUGAAUGGGGGACCUGAGUGUGUUUAUAAUGCCGACGCUC
Long non-coding RNA from Pungitius pungitius (ninespine stickleback), 1788 nucleotides. RefSeq lists it as uncharacterized. The transcript is spliced from 4 exons. The record is from RefSeq and is a predicted model, not a curated record. Lineage: Eukaryota; Metazoa; Chordata; Actinopteri; Perciformes; Gasterosteidae.